UAACUAAUAUUUAAUUUAUAAAAAUCUUCCCAACACUCCAGUUUAGUGAGUUGAGAAACUAAGGGUUUUGGAGGCUUUAAAAACUCCAAAAACCUUACCUUCUCCAUAAAACCUCCUUUCCAAAUAAGGCCAUAUUUCUUCAUUGCAUUUAAAAACCUUCCCUUAACUUCAAAAACUUGCUCCCAAAGGAUCCUUUUGUCAUUCUAUGAGGUUGAUGGAUAUAUAUUUUUGUAUUAAAACUACAAUUUGUCUAAUUGCAGGAAAAGGGGAGCAUUUGAAGAC
Molecule: unclassified non-coding RNA, 282 nt
Filed under: Hevea brasiliensis (rubber tree)
Lineage: Eukaryota; Viridiplantae; Streptophyta; Magnoliopsida; Malpighiales; Euphorbiaceae
Source: RNAcentral